Molecule: ribosomal RNA, 720 nt
Filed under: uncultured bacterium
Lineage: Bacteria
Description: bacterial SSU rRNA
Rfam family: Bacterial small subunit ribosomal RNA
Source: RNAcentral
AGAGUUUGAUCAUGGCUCAGAACGAACGCUGGCGGCGCGCCUAACACAUGCAAGUCGAACGAGAAUCCGGGGCAACCCGGUAGUAAAGUGGCAAACGGGUGAGGAAUACAUGGGUAACCUGCCCUUGAGAAGGGAAUAACCCGCCGAAAGGUGAGCUAAUACCCUAUACGCUCCUCUUUCUUUGGAAAGGGAAGGAAAGCUAAGUCGAGGACUUGGCACUCAAGGAGGGGCUCAUGUCCUAUCAGCUUGUUGGUGGGGUAAUGGCCUACCAAGGCAACGACGGGUAGCUGGUCUGAGAGGAUGAUCAGCCACACUGGCACUGAGAUACGGGCCAGACUCCUACGGGAGGCAGCAGUGAGGAAUAUUGCGCAAUGGGCGAAAGCCUGACGCAGCGACGCCGCGUGGGGGAUGAAGGUUUUCGGAUUGUAAACCCCUUUCAUGAGGAAAGAUAAAGUGGGUUACCACUUAGACGGUACCUCAAGAAGAAGCCACGGCUAACUUCGUGCCAGCAGCCGCGGUAAUACGAAGGUGGCAAGCGUUGUUCGGAUUUACUGGGCGUAAAGAGCACGUAGGCGGUUGGGAAAGCCUCUUGGGAAAUCUCCCGGCCUAACCGGGAAAGUUCGAGGGGAACUAUUCAGCUAGAGGACGGGAGAGGAGCGCGGAAUUCCCGGUGUAGCGGUGAAAUGCGUAGACAUCGGGAAGAAGGCCGGUGGCGAAGGC